CCCUUAGAUGUUCUGGGCGGCCCGCGCACUACAAUGGCGCUUUCAGCGAGUUCCUAUGUUGAAUUUUCCUGGGUAUUCUUGGAAGCGGCGUCUUGACUUGGGAUAGAUCCUUGUAAUUGUUGGUUUUGAACGAGGAAUUCCUUGUAAUCGCGGUUGAUCAGCUCGCGUUGAAUACGUCCCUGCCCUUUGUACACACCGCCCGCCGCUCCUACCGAUGAAUCGUCCGGUGAAGUUCACAGAGUGGCGGUUCGUGGAGUUGCUCGCGAAGUGAAAUGGACCUCACGAUUUAGAGGAAGGAGAAGUCGUAACA
Molecule: ribosomal RNA, 310 nt
Filed under: uncultured eukaryote
Lineage: Eukaryota
Description: partial 18S ribosomal RNA
Rfam family: Eukaryotic small subunit ribosomal RNA
Source: RNAcentral